GAAGCUGAUAAACAUACACACCACAAAUCAUAUAAUACACCUAGUUGGUUACAUGCACAUGCUCAUUUUUGUGGGCUUGUUAUGCAGGUGCCUUUAGCACUCCAUCUUCGCAGACAAUGCUUCAUACGACAGGUUCAACUAAAAACAUUUAGACUUCAUCAGUGACAAGUGCAGGUGCUCCAACUUUCACAGGUUUGCCUAAUUAUCUUAAUUGGAACCCAUCAGUUGCAAAUUCAGGUGAUUCAGUCUCACAGCCUGCUAAAAUUAAAAUCCCUUGGAUCAUAUCUGCCACAAAUGCAUGAUCUUUUAGUACUCCAUCCUCACAGACCAUGCUUGAUACGACAGGUUCUACUAAAAACAUCGAGACUUCAUCAGUGACAAGUGCCGGUGCUCCAACUUUCACAGGUUUGCCUAAUUAUCUUCAUUGGAACCCAUCAGUUACAAAUUCAGGUUAAGUAUUUUUAAAUUUGUUGAACAUCUACAUUCGUUUUCAAACCUAGAUAAAUAUUUUCUGGAGAAUGGUUCAUCAUAGAGAACAUAGAGAACUAAUCAAGGGGCUAUAUGCAUAAUAUCUAACUGUUAAACUCUUCACAGGUGAUUCAGUCUCAUAGCCUGUUAAAAUUAAAAUCCCUUGGAUCAUAUCUGCCACAAAUGCACGUAAAUUAACUGAACUCUCAGCCGUUUUCCUAAGCAUGUAAGAAGCUCCAUCUACACAUAUUGAUACCUGAAAUUGUUUCAGAGAAAUUCCAUUACCGAUAAUAGUGUUCUAUCCAUAUUGAUUUCUCAUGUCCUCAUACCACUUGGUUGCUUCGGCAAGCUAUUUCGAAACUGUGGUGGAUAUCCUUUUAUGCCUCUUGCAUUUGUUGGCUGCUUUCUUUCUUCUACCUGUUCUAUGCCUAUAACAGUUGCAUGAUUUCACUUGCACAGUGGGUUGCCUGUACAUGUUCAUUUUUACGGUUAUAGGUCUUCGCUAAGAACUCCAGGAUCUCACUAAAAAAUGUUAGUCUGAGUUUAGAGUCUUGAUUUCCAAUCUACACUAGCCCUUCCCCCGCAUUUUUAAAUGUUUUGACUGUUAAGAGGACAUUAUGCGUAAAAGGUGAAUAAAUGAAUGUUAAUACUAAUACUUAUUUGGGUGAUUCUAAAGGGUUUUAAUACUUGGGCAGACCCAGUCGAUCUAAGAAAGAGGCUGACAACUGCUGAGGAAGAUGAUCCCGGUAAAAAAAGGCAACGGACAAAUAAAUUGGUAAUGCUUGGUAUAACUCGCUUUCUGCUCAGUCACGCAUCCUAUAUACUUAAGAAGUUCACCCCCACUACUUGAUUUAUCUCAACAUGCAGCAUAGACACCUCAUCAUCCAGUCACAUCCAGCCACGUCACACCUCAUGCAGUCCCAUUCAAGCCCACCUCCUUAGGCCUCAUAAAAUAUUACAAGGAAAAAUGAAAAUCUUUGGGAUUUCUUCAAAACGUACGCGCCAAUACAGUUCAGCGAGACGAACGCUGCUUCGUUUCCCAUAAAAGCGCAUACGCCAUAAUGGUUCCGUUUCCAAAGUAAUAGCUGAACAAGCGCUCCCUUAGAAAAAAGGCCCUCUGCCUCUCUCCCACAUAGCCACAUAAAACGUCAGUUUUCCCCUGCCAACAGAUAGCUCACAAUCGUGGAAAAAACUAAGCCAACCUUUUCCCCUAGCUAUGAAGAUCCAGCGAUGGGCAGGCGAUCUCCGCGUGAAGUCCAGUCAUCUCGCACGACCAUCGAUCUACUUCACCUGCAACUCCUCUCUACGCAGGCCAGACCACAGUUUCGUUGCCGGCCGCCCAGAUCGUCGCUGAGGGCACAGCCGAAUCGGCCUAAUCGGGUCGUUAUUAUGCUCCUAAUCUACCGGGCACGCCGGAUGGUCUACCUCGCCACCGUCUCUUGGCAGCUGGGACGUGAGCCGGGUUGUUUUAUGUUGCCGGCAACCUAGAAUCACAGAUCGUUAAUUAAGGCACAACCGAUGAGGCCUCUGCGAUGCUCGAUGGCCGCCGUCGGGUACCACAAGCAUCGCGGAGUUCGCCUCAAUCAGCAAAGAAGACUGUCACAGCGGCUCCUGCUCUGUGGCUGGUACAUCAGCUUAUCAGUGAGCAUUGUAGCACUUAGUUUCACGUUAGAUGAGGAAUACCAUUGUUACGUACUUCUAUACCAUGGUUGACAUACUUCUUUGUUGUACGAUCAUUUAUAUUCUGCAUUUAUGAUCAAUUCCUACUUCCCAGUCUCCAUCGUGCAUUCCGCACGCGUCAUCUGUGUCUCCGAGCACCAGGCUUCCGACACUCCGCUAUGAUCUCCACAUGAUCCCGCAUGGGCUUCACGGAGUUGUAGUUUCACUCAGAUAUAAGCAAUAGUAUUGAUGUCUAUUCACCAUCAAAAAAAAGUAUUGAUGUCUAUUUGCAAGAUGCCUGCCAAGGAGCUGCCAAAAUUAUCAACCUGGGCAUGUUCUAUGUAUUAGUGAUGCCUCUUUUAAUUGCAUUUGGCUAGGUUUUGUUUUGGUGCCAGACAGAACUUUGUUCACCCCAAUUAAGCCUUUCAGUUUACUAUCUUUGUUGCAUGUUAUGUUGCAUUAUACUCACUAAGGUGCAAUUCCUUCCCUCUGAAUUUGGAACUAUCAUGUUAUCGGCAGCUUUAGUAUAAAGGUUUGCAUUCUGCUCCAUCCAACACUUUCCUGUAAAAGUGCUCCUCCAUGUAGGUCACUAUAUAACAACUGAAAUUUUAAGCAUUGACUGGUAUGUAUUUGUAGAGACUAUGAUAGAUAUAGAAGCAUCAAAAUUUAAUAUAUGCCCAUCUUCAUUCUGCUGAAGUUUUACCUACUAUUUUUCUUUGCCUAUUAACCGAUUCAUGAAAUAAUUCACUGAGGUGGCCAAAUACAUUACUUUCAUAAAAUACAUAUGUGUUUUCUUUUUCUCUGUUAUUAAUUGUUUGACAUAUUAUUGUUAAUUGUACAAACUAAUCUUGAUUUUUCAGUUGCCGGCACUUUUUUUUUCUUGCCAUUUGAAUCUUGCCCAUUUGGAUCGUGUCUAAUGUGGCAAAGGUCACACAUUCAAUAUUUGUUUGUGAGACUCCAUUACUAAGGUGAGACAUUUCCCACUUAUCAGUUCGAGAUAUUGUCUGCAGUUUUAGUGUUCAAUUCAGCUGCUCGACACUUUAGGAUACCUCAUCCUUCACACCCAAAACAAGCUUCGGUUAGUUUUACCAUAAAAAAUGUUGUGUCAUUAAGUGUUGUUAUUCACAAUUCUCUUUUGUAAAGCAUAGUAACAAACUUAAAGGUUGUCAUUUUGUGGUUAAUGCAUUUCCAAAUUUGUUUUGGUGGUUAAUUUUAUUGAUUCAAAGUUUCUAAUUGGGCAAAUCCUAAUUAGUUCUUAAUUUCUUACACAUGGGAUUCAUUUUUCCUACUCUGCAAUCCAUCACGUAUGUAGCAAAUGGUUUAGUGGAUAUCACAUAUUUUUAUGUCAGUCAAUAUUAUAUAUAUAUAAUUUUUGUCUAUACUCCUUUAAAUAUUCAUCUACUAAUUCCCGCAGCAACGCGCGGGGUAGCAUCUAGUUUCCUAAGAAGUACCUACAAUAUUAACUGGCGGAGUACUUGUUGGAAUGCAGGAGCUAGAGUCUGAAACUGAAGCUGGUACUUGCGCCAUCAACUUGAUAGCCUGAUUGAGUCGGGCCUUACUCACUGUGCUCCUUCAAGUUGAUUAGUUGCAAUUGUGUUGGAGGAUACCAUUAAGGAGGUUUUUGGAUUAGAGAGUGGAUACUGUACCUUGCUGCGAACGGUCCUGUGACGGCGGUGAGCUGGGGUGGCAGAGAACGGUCCAGCGACGACGGCGAUGGCUACCAAGCGACAGGGCCGCACCAAAUAGGCGGAGGAUUAGGCACACAUCCGGUGACUCGCCGACCAUCGGAGACGGGAAGAGCCGGCUCGAGCCUGGCGGCAGUGGGUUCUUUUGGGAGAGAGCAGAGGAGCACUCGAGAUUUCUCCCCGAAACAAACACCUCCUAGGUAUAAAUCUUAUUAAUGGUUCAUUCCUGGAAUCGAUCCCUUCUUUGUUUGGUCAAUUCUUGAUCAGCAAAGGAGUGCACUCCCAUAUAAACAUAAGCAGGAUCACACACACACACCAUUGAUGUUGGUGUUUUGGUACAUCAGCAUGUUUGAUUAUAUACACAUAUGAAAAUGAAAU
Triticum aestivum (bread wheat) is the source of this 4190-nucleotide long non-coding RNA. RefSeq lists it as uncharacterized. Lineage: Eukaryota; Viridiplantae; Streptophyta; Magnoliopsida; Poales; Poaceae. The record is from RefSeq and is a predicted model, not a curated record. The transcript has 6 exons.